AAACAAACACAGGGGUGCUGAUGAGAAUCGGCUGAGAAAAAGCGAGAAGUUUUUAACCCUAGAACCUGUAUCUGGAUAAUGCCAGCGUAGGGAGUCAUGAAAGGAUUUUG
RNAcentral lists this non-coding RNA (110 nucleotides) under Blautia hydrogenotrophica. RNAcentral's name for it is "TPP sequence". It matches the Rfam family "TPP riboswitch aptamer (THI element)". From Rfam's summary of the family: Vitamin B(1) in its active form thiamin pyrophosphate (TPP) is an essential coenzyme that is synthesised by coupling of pyrimidine and thiazole moieties in bacteria. RNAcentral also lists the same sequence under 1 other name. The record is from RNAcentral. Lineage: Bacteria; Bacillati; Bacillota; Clostridia; Lachnospirales; Lachnospiraceae.